UAAGCGGAGGAAAAGAAACUAACAAGGAUUCCCCUAGUAACUGCGAGUGAAGCGGGAAAAGCUCAAAUUUAAAAUCUGGCGGUCUCUGNCCGUCCGAGUUGUAAUUUAGAGAAGCGUCUUCCGCGCCGGACCGUGCACAAGUCUCCUGGAAUGGAGCGUCAUAGAGGGUGAGAAUCCCGUCUUUGGCACGGAUGCCUGUGCUUCUGCGAUGCGCUCUCGAAGAGUCGAGUUGUUUGGGAAUGCAGCUCAAAAUGGGUGGUGAACUCCAUCUAAAGCUAAAUAUUGGCGAGAGACCGAUAGCGAACAAGUACCGUGAGGAAAAGAUGAAAAGCACUUUGGAAAGAGAGUGAAACAGUACGUGAAAUUGUUGAAAGGGAAACGCUUGAAGUCAGUCGCGUCGACCGAGACUCAGCCUUGCCUUGGCUUGGUGUACUUCUCGGCCCGACGGGUCAGCAUCAAUUUUGCCCCUCGGAUAAUGGCAAGGGAAAGGUGGCACCUUUUCGGGUGUGUUAUAGUCUCCUGUCGCAUGCGAGGGGUGGGAUUGAGGAACUCAGCGCGCACCUUGGUGUCGGGGCUUCGGCCCACGUCACGCGCUUAGGAUGCUGGCGUAAUGGCUUUAAACGACC
This 626-nucleotide ribosomal RNA is filed under the name uncultured Russulaceae. Its description in RNAcentral is "LSU rRNA". It matches the Rfam family "Eukaryotic large subunit ribosomal RNA", at positions 47 to 649 of the family's 3401-position model. The record is from RNAcentral. Lineage: Eukaryota; Fungi; Basidiomycota; Agaricomycetes; Russulales; Russulaceae.